Molecule: non-coding RNA, 68 nt
Organism: Bos taurus (domestic cattle)
Lineage: Eukaryota; Metazoa; Chordata; Mammalia; Artiodactyla; Bovidae
Source: Rfam
GUUGACGUAGCUUAAAAUCAAAGCAAGGCACUGAAAAUGCCUAGAUGAGUUCCCUAACUCCUUAAACA